UCUAAUGCUGUUAAGGUACUCCAUUAAU
RNAcentral lists this non-coding RNA (28 nucleotides) under Mus musculus (house mouse). Lineage: Eukaryota; Metazoa; Chordata; Mammalia; Rodentia; Muridae. The record is from RNAcentral.